RNAcentral lists this long non-coding RNA (1056 nucleotides) under Cricetulus griseus (Chinese hamster). RNAcentral's name for it is "lncRNA (ENSCGRG00015029446.1)". Lineage: Eukaryota; Metazoa; Chordata; Mammalia; Rodentia; Cricetidae. The record is from RNAcentral.
GAUCUCAAGAUGGUCACAGCUCACUUUAGCCUUUACCUGUAACCACUUGAAGACACCAUUGGAAUCUAAAGGCUGAUUGGUUAGUCUUUACCCCACAGGUUCUCACUUCCAGAAAGAUCUGGAUACCUGGUUUAUUGGCUCUGUCUCUCCUUCUUCUUCGAGUUUCAGAGUAUUCUUGUGCAUUACUCUUGUGUUGCUGUGAUGAAUUCCCGAGGGAACAACUUAAAGGGAAGAUUUUAAAUUUUGGUUCAUGGGUUCAGGUGGUUCAGGUGGUUCAUCAGCUCAUGGUUCCACUGAUUCUAGAUCGGUGAUGAUGGAGGAGCAUGUGGCAGAGGCGGCUUUACUUCAUGGCAGUUAGGGAGCAGAGCAAGCAAGAAAGGGACCAGGCAUAACUUUGAACUAUGUUCCCAGUGGCCUACUUCUUCCUACUAAACCUAUCUCCUAAAGAUUUUAUAAUGUCCUCAAAUAACAAUGCCAGAUAGAGACCAAUUAUCAACACAUGAGCCUGUGAGGAACAUUCAUAUUCAACGAAGUUCCAUAAGCAGAAGAAUAUUCCGUGGGGAGCCUGACCCAAAGCAAUCAUGUUGGGUUCUGCAGGUGUGGAUCCUAUGAAAACUACUUCAAGGUGAAUAAUUGCAUCACAUUGAAAACAGAUAAAUAUUUUUUUCUUUGUUUGAAGAUGGAGGCAGUGGAGUAGGGAGGUGUGCGUACUGCACUUACGAAAGCAUCUAUUUCUCUAAGUUUUGGGCUUCUCUUCCAUUAGGUAGAACUUCAAGUACAAUAUUGAAGAGGUAUGGAAAGAGUGGACAGCCUUGUCUUGUCCCUGAUUUUAGAGGAAUUGCAUUGAGUUUCUCUCCAUUUAAUUUGAUGUUGGCUGCUGGCUUGCUCUAUAUUGCUUUUAUUAUGUUACGGUAUGUUCCUGUUAUCCCUAGUUUCUCCAAGACCUUUAUCAUGAUGGGCCCCCUUCCCUUUGUAAUAAAAGUUCUCACUUAAGUUCUGUCUGCCUGGCAUGUUUGUCCCUUCGCCUCAGGCACCCUUACCUGUCAUGGAAUCCAC